Long non-coding RNA from Armigeres subalbatus, 978 nucleotides. RefSeq lists it as uncharacterized. The transcript is spliced from 3 exons. NCBI's taxonomy places the organism in Eukaryota, Metazoa, Arthropoda, Insecta, Diptera, Culicidae. The record is from RefSeq and is a predicted model, not a curated record.
UUAGAAGCAGCAGAUCGACUGACGUACGGUGUGUUAAAGUGUUCCCUUUUAAGAAGUUUACCGGAACCGCGGAACCGAUGAUCCUCUUAAACAGAGGAAAAGCAAUCACUAUUGCACAGUGACAGACAUUGCACGUGUGAGGAAUAAUCCUCGGCAGGCCCAAUACCCCAUUAACUACAAUUCCCAAUAUCAUCUGGAAAAGUGACGCCGAUAUCACAAAACAGAGGUAUCAGAUAUACGGCCGGCUACCUGUCACAGCAUAAGGUGCACAAUACCGACGAACAGUCAUCGUACCAAGCAACCCGUACCGUCGCACAGUACGAACCACGAAGAGGCGACAGUGCAGCUUCCAUCCCGCGCAAACGGACCACCGACAUCGACACAGCAUUUGCCAGGACGUGUGAAGAUCGUCCCGAUCGCUCUAACUAGCAGUGUUAGAUUACAUCCUCACACUAUACCAAAAUCCAAUUGGAAAACUCAGUGGUGAGAACGACGAGCCUGUGAGAAACUCACUAAUGCACGCUGAGCUUGGAGAGCGUCGCAGUCACACUAGUGUUGAGCAUCAACGUUACCCACUAGUAACUCGGGUAUCACGUGUUGACGGUUAGGAAGAAGGGUGAAAGGGCCCAAGCAUCAAGUGUAGCACGGUGAACAAAUGGUGCGGAGUGGGUGGUAGCAGAAAGCUGUAGUGAUUGACGGAAGGAAGAAGUGUGAUCUGUGCAUCGUGGUGUGAGCAGCAUAAGGAAGUAGUAGAAGCAGAAAGAAGAUCGUGGCUGGGUGUUAGUGUGUGUGCAUGCAACGUGAGAGCGGUUGGAGAAACAGUGCAGAUGCACUUUCGAAUAGAGCGCCGUCGAAUGGUGCCGAGCAAGGACGUAGUAAGUAGGGGCCCCUAAACAAAUGAUAGCGAAGAAGUUCGCUGAAGAGAGCACUACGGUGCAGGGAGGAGGUAGGCUUAGCAUGUAAGACUUGAAUGAUGCA